CUGGUUGGUGUCUUUGGUAAAACUGGGGCUGGAAAGAGUUCUCUGAUAAAUGCCAUCAUUGAAGAGAAGAACCUUUUGCCUUCUGGAAGUGUCAGUGCAUGCACCUCAGUCAUGAUCAAAGUGGAGGCUAACAUGCAAGGCUCUAACUAUGAGGCAGACAUUGAGUUCAUCACAGCAGAGGAGUGGAAAGAUGAGUUGUGGUCAUCUCAUCAGUUUCUUGGGGAUAAUAAAGACUGUGAAAUGGAUGUUGAUAAUGACUAUCGUGACAUCAGUGAAAAGUUUUCAGCGCUCUAUGGAGAAGAAUGGAGAGGAAAGUCCUCUGAAGAUCUCAUGGAUGGAAAAUAUUUCAGAGAAAUUCCAGAAUUUCUCCAAGGCAGGAGGAAGAUUUUGUCAUGUGAAUCAGCUAAAGAACUCUCUGCAAGAUGUGUCAAAUACACAAGAAGUG
This is a long non-coding RNA of Oreochromis aureus, 445 nucleotides long. Lineage: Eukaryota; Metazoa; Chordata; Actinopteri; Cichliformes; Cichlidae. The record is from Ensembl.